AGCCAUGCAUGUCUAAGUAUAAGUAUUAUACAGCGAAACUGCGAAUGGCUCAUUAAAACAGUUAUGGUUUAUUUGAUAAUCGAAUUUUACAUGGAUAACCGUGGUAAUUCUAGAGCUAAUACAUGCUGGUGUGCCUGACUUUUCGGAAGGGCGGUAUUUAUUAGAUAACGAACCAAUAUUCCUCUGGUCUAUUGUGGUGAAUCAUAAUAACUGAUCGAAUCGCAAAGCCUUUGGCUGCGAUAUGUCAUUCAAGUUUCUGCCCCAUCAGCUUUCGAUGGUAGUGUAUUGGACUACCAUGGCUUUUACGGGUAACGGAGAAUUAGGGUUCGAUUCCGGAGAGGGAGCCUGAGAAACGGCUACCACAUCUAAGGAAGGCAGCAGGCGCGUAAAUUACCCAAUCCUGACUCAGGGAGGUAGUGACAAGAAAUAACGGACCGGCCUUUUAGGUUCGGGAUUGCAAUGAGCCGAAUUUACACCCCUUAGCGAGGACCCAUUGGAGGGCAAGUCUGGUGCCAGCAGCCGCGGUAAUUCCAGCUCCAAUAGCGUAUAUUAAAGUUGUUGCAGUUAAAAAGCUCGUAGUUGGAUUUCUGGGGAGGUGCCAAUGUCACCUUUGUGUUGCGCAGCGGCGCCUCUCCAUCCUUCUGUUAACGUCGUUGGACCUUAAUCAGUCUGCGGCGGGCUCAGAUAUUUUACCUUGAGAAAAUUAGAGUGUUUCAGGCAGGCCAGGCCGGAAUACAUUAGCAUGGAAUAAUGGAAUAGGACUUUAGUCUCUUUGUUGGUUUGGGGGACUGCAGUAAUGAUUAAUAGGGAUAGUUGGGGGGCAUUAAUACUUAACUGUCAGAGGUGGAAUUCUCAGAUUUGUUAAAGAUUAACUUAUGCGAAAGCAUUUGCCAAGGAUGUUUUCAUUAAUCAAGAACGAAAGUUAGGGGAUCAAAGACGAUCAGAUACCGUCC
This 953-nucleotide ribosomal RNA is filed under the name uncultured eukaryote. RNAcentral describes it as "SSU rRNA". It matches the Rfam family "Eukaryotic small subunit ribosomal RNA", at positions 47 to 1020 of the family's 1831-position model. The record is from RNAcentral.